GUCUACAGCCAUGCCACCCUUAAUGUGCUCAAUCUCGUCUGAUCUCGGAAGCUAAGCAGGGUCGGGCCUGGUGAGAACUUGAAUGGGAGACUACCUAGGAAUACCAGGUGCUAUAGGCG
This 119-nucleotide ribosomal RNA is filed under the name Pteropus alecto (black flying fox). The record is from RNAcentral. Lineage: Eukaryota; Metazoa; Chordata; Mammalia; Chiroptera; Pteropodidae.